This 237-nucleotide small nucleolar RNA is filed under the name Dasypus novemcinctus (nine-banded armadillo). RNAcentral's name for it is "Small Cajal body specific RNA 6 (ENSDNOG00000030515.1)". It matches the Rfam family "Small Cajal body specific RNA 6", at positions 28 to 265 of the family's 265-position model. Rfam says of the family: U88 is small Cajal body specific RNA (scaRNA). scaRNAs are a novel class of small nuclear RNAs which localise to the Cajal bodies. The record is from RNAcentral. Lineage: Eukaryota; Metazoa; Chordata; Mammalia; Cingulata; Dasypodidae.
AUUCAGUAAUUGGUCAAAAUCUAGUGUAACUCUCUGGCCUUCUCUCUUCCAUCAGGCUCCGUAAUGUUGUGACAGGCAAAAGGGCAGCUGACACUCGCCAAUGUCCCUGUCUGGUAUUCCCUGGGGAGCGCAGGGAAAAUGCCGUGGUUGGCAUCCAACAGUUUAGUUACAAAGGCAUUUGGGUAGGUGGGAGUGCUGGAAUCUAGGGCUAUGAUCUGAUGUUUUCAAGUUGAGAAC